AUGGGAACUACUUUUAUGGACUUUUUCCCGACCGGAGAAGUUGCGUUUGGAGGAGGACACAAACAGAAGCUGAUUUCAUUCAUUAUAAUAUGCAUUUUCUCUUCGGGCGUUGCUGCAGAAGGUUUUGAUGUGGUACAAGUGAAACCCGGAGACGAUGUCACUCUGGGGUGUCUCGCUGGCGAAGGCCACAUCAAAGCUGUGGAGUGGACCAGAACUGACCUGGAGCCAGAGUACGUCCUCUUUUACAGCGACAGACGCUCAGAUCCAACCCAGCAGCAUUCAACCUUUCGGGGCCGGGUGCAGCUGGUGGACGGCGAGCUGAAGGAUAGAAACGUGUCUUUAAUUCUCAAGAACGUGAGCAGCAACGACAGCGGGACGUACGAGUGUCGAGUGUCCCUCGGUGGUUCGACGCGGGUUAAGAAAGCCCUCAUCGAGACUGAGCCGAUCUCGAGCAUCACACUGGAGGUCGCAGACUCAGGGCCCAGGAACGUCGAGGUCGGAAGCCACAUUCGUAUUGGACUGGCAGUGGGUUCUGUUUUGCUUGCUUGUUUGGCUGGAUUGGCUGUUGUUGUUGUCAGGAAAAUGAAGAGGACAUGUGGACCACAGUCAAGCAUCCUGUGACCUUCCCCCUCUGCUCUUCCUCCUGUACACUUAACAGCUGGGAUCAGGUAUCCAAUCACACAGCACCAGCCUCUUUUAAGGAAUCUCCAAUGUUACACAGACGACCUCCAGUUCUACAUCUCUGCCAAAACACCCAAAUCUCCUGUUUACACCUGCCAUAGUUGUUUUUAUACUGAUAUUUUUCUGGAAGUCGUUUUGUUACCGUGUAAAGAUUCUCAAUAAUGGAGCUAACCUGGAUUUAUGGAAACUAUUCUGUCACUUUAACUAGAGCUUUUCUAUCAAGUAGAAUAUAUAUAUAUAAAGCUUCUAGUCCUGCACUGGUUCCCCAUUUCAUUUAGACUACAUUCCAACGUUGUAAUGUUGUAAUUUUAAUAGCUAGUCUGGCUCCAAAGCACUGUUAACUCCUUACAGCCCAGCUAGGCCCUUAAGAGCAGCUCCCACCGACCAGACUGAGAACCAGAGCUGACCCUGCACUGUGCCUUCAGCAGAGCUACGCUUUAAUGUUUACCUUCAGUUAUUUUAUGGCAUUUAUAUGUUUUAACUUCCUGCAGUUAUUCUCUGCUGUUAUGUUUAUGCACUGACUAGAAUAUGAAAUAUAUGUAAAAUAUGUCUGAGUCAUUAAGAAUGAAGAAUUCUAUGAUAACAGUUAUUAGCUUUAACUUUUAAAAGAAUACACUCUAUAUUAACUAAUAAACGUAUUAAUAUUAUUAUUUAAGCCUCAACCUCUUGGAGGCACCAUGACACUUUGAUUGGGCUUUAGUCUUUUAUAUUGUUAAGACUUUUAGCAUUUCUUGUACAAAAGGGAUGCUCUGGAACAAAGUCGUACUUAUGUGCAAUUCUUUAGUGUCUCACAAUGAUGCAAAUGCUGUUUCAGAGGCAAAACUAUCUGUGAUAUACAGCUAUGGAAAAAAUUAAGAGACUACUGCAACAUUAUUGGUGGUUUUUAUACUUUUCCUCAUUAAAUAAGAUUUGGUUCAGGUGAUCACCCACUCAGUACCUCAUUAAGUAGCAUUAGAUGUGCUUGUGUUGGAGUUCAACAGACACUUGAAUGACACGAAGAGAUGCUAAUUUAAGUGGAGUGGUCUCUUAAUGUUUGUCCAGAGCUGUUUAUUCUGAAGAUUUAUUUAAGUAUUAUUAAUGUCUAUACUUGCCUCAACCUCUCGGACGCACUGUGAGUCAUUGGUGCAAAUGCUGAGGCAAAACUAUUUGUGAUAAGUUACCACACAUCAAGCCUUUUAGGGUAUUAUACUAUGCAAACAAGCCUUAAAUAUCAAGUAUAGUGUAUAAUAAUGCAGUUUACAUUCCUGUGUCAACUGUUUAUUGUUCGUUUAUCAGUUAGCCAGUUUAUUUAAUGUUUUUAAUGUGUAUUUACAUUUAUUUUUAUUAUACAGAUAAACUACAUAUUGCCAUUCAGUUGCAUGUUAUUAUUUUUAUUAUUAUUCAUCAAGUCAAGUCCGCUUUAUUGUCAAAUAUGCUAUAUGCACAACAUACAGCAUAGAUGAAAUUUCAGUACCUUAUGUGGGUAUUCAUGUGAUGUUGUUACAUUUAUAUUGUGUUUAUCAAGAAUAUACUUAAAAGAACAUGAAAAUAAAAGCUGUAAAUAAUGAAUAAUUAGUCUGUUUCAACUCACUUCAGAAAUCUAAUGAAUGUAUUUAAUAAUCAGAAAUGUUCCAAACUUUGUCCUAAAUUUACUUCAUAAAGCAACAAAACCUCAGUUUCUCACUGUUAAAUGUGGAGCUGAUCAUUUUAUAAAGGACAGUAACUCCUCCUUUUAGUCUACUACCACAUUCAGUCAGAUAUUGUUUUAUUACAGCGACUGUGUUUCCUUUUCUAAAUACAUAAUAACCUUUAAAUAAGUUUCCAGUCUGACACAGUCAGAUAAAAACUGCCUGUUUUUACAGAUAGAGGCAUAAAUGUGUGAAAGCAAACGGCUCUCUGAUUUCAGUUUCACCUGGAUUUUAAUGUUAAUACAUUAGCAUAUGAAGCUAAUAACUUUAAGUGCCAUUUACCUCAGUGUCUGGGUGUGUGUAUAAUUAUAGCUGUAUAAGAUUUGUGUUCGUACAAUAUUAAAGACCAGAGGAAGCUGAGAUCUGUUUCUGGGUCACUCUCUGAUCGGAGUUAUAGAUGAAGAGACUAGAGAGCUGUAACUGGAUAUAAAUGAGGAGCACAUAAAGCAGCAUAAUAGAUAUUUAUAGGAUAUUGAUCAGUAAUUGUUUAUGGGGCAGCAGCCAAAUCUCAUUUCCAUACAUGAGACGUUGUAUUGGUUCCACUCCAGGAAGAGUUAGACAAACUAUCUGAGAGGAUGUGGGAGUUCAAAUAUCACCAAAAGUGUCUUUAAAUGAUUCCUGGGAGUCUUAAGAGAUUUAAGGGAAAAGGUAAAGCAGAAGAAUGUGACAUUAAUUGUAAUUAAUUAUUAUAAUUAAGCAGUUAUGAAACAACAUGAUCAACUCCUUUAAUGCUGAAUCCUAAACGUGUAAAAUAAUAAAGGAUUAAAACAAACACUCCCAUUAAACUUUUCCAACUACAGUCCAACAAGUAGUGAGUAGACACUGAAAAAUUACCCUCAAAUUGCUUUUUCAAACUUUUAUAAGACGACUUCCACCUGUUUUGUCCCUUAUUAUAACUGUAUACAUUGCUAUUGAAUGAUUAAGGAUUAAAGUUAAAGUCUGGUGUUGACAUUGAGGUCUGAAUGUAAAUAAAUGUGUUUUAUUUUGUUAAAAUUAGUUAUCUUUUUAGUUUCCAUGUCAAUAUAAUGUGACUCAGUGCUUGUUUAAUCUAUAAUUAAUCCCAUGUGCUGUCCUAGACAUUUGUUGUAUACGUUUACAGUCUAUAAAGACAUUGUUUAAUAUUUAUUUAGAGUAAAGGAAGAAGGAGAAGAUUGAGAGUUUGAUCACACUGGUUUAAAUAAAACUAUUUCUGUUGGGGGAAAGUAAAGUAUGUGUGCACUGUAGUUUCAGGAACACGUUUAUUGCACAGUAAACUUUCACAUACAAGGAAUUUACUUUGUUAAGAUAGAGCAUAACAAUUAAACUUAUAAUUAAAUAUAAAUAAAAGAUAAAAACUAAAUAUGCACAAUAUGGUUGAAUUCUUAAAUGAGUGGAGAGCUGUAUGAGAAGUUAGCAGUGUGACACUUAAUAUUGACAAUGUGCAUUCAUUUACAGUUUGAAUUAUAGUAAAUUAAAUACAUAAUACAGACUGAACUGUAAAGAAAGAAUUCAUCAAAAUUCAUCAAAAACAACUUUUACACAAACUUCCUGUAGAGUUCACUAUUUUAUCCACUUUAUUAAACAUAAAAUAUGCAUAAAAUGUGUCACUUAGUUUAGGAGAUGAUAGAAAAACCUUUCAUGAAGAGGAGGAUGUUGAGCCAUCGACCCACCCCCCAUAACAACUUCCUCAAAAACAUUUAGUCUACAGUAGUCAGACCUGCAGCAGAGAUGCAGCUCUUCACACUAAUCCUACUUGUGGCAAAUGCAUCAGGUGAGUUCUAAUAAUAACGGAGAUUUUUAGUUUGUAGGAAUCAUUGCAGUUUAACAGCCCCGGAAGCGGAAGCCCUGACUCCGCCCACAUUGAGUUCUGCGGGCCGGCAGUCAGGGACACAUGGAGGAUUCUGGUUCUGAUUCUGGUUCUGAUUCUGGUUCUGAUUCUGGUUCUGAUUCUGGUUCUGAUUCUGGUUCCUCUGUGGUGCUUUAUCGCUACCUACUGAUCCGGAGAGUGAAUCAGUAAAUAGGCAAUCUGAACCCCUUAUAUUAAUUUCAAUAAAUUCCAAUCCUAUAUUCUAUUAAACAAUCCUGUGUCUAUUAAUAAAUAUAUAAUAAGCCCUCCACACACUGCUUGUGAAUUUACCUUAUCCAAUAAAUACUAAUGUGUUAUUUAAACCAGUGUGCUCUAAUAUUAGUCAAACUCCGUCCUCUCUUUAACACUUAUUAUUCUGUGGUGUGUUCUUCCCUCGCUGUCCCAGUCAAACAUUAGUUUUGCGCCAAAUUUCAGAUGAUGAUGUGUCAUGUUGACUUUAAUUUCCUCCUUCCUUGAUUAUAUCUGCUGCAAUCUAUUAACAGGGCUAAUAUUGUAUAAAAAACAACGUCAUAUUGCGAUGUGAUUGGCCUUUUAUUGAUUAGAAUCUGGGCCACAGCAGUAACUCCAUACAUGGGUCGCCAGCUCUACCGACUGAGCUAACCGGGUGCCCUACGAUUCACAAUUAAUGUGGCUAUUUUAAAAUCAAACACUCAAACUGAAGUCUAUUAAAGCUAUUUGCUUCCUCACAUUUGAGUUUUUCCUGUAUGAAUUUCCUGGGAGUGCAGCCUGGGAAUAAAGAGGAAUAAAGGGAAUAAAGAGGAAUAAAGAGGAAUAAAGGGAAUAAAGGAAAUAAAGAGGAAUAAAGGGAAUAAAGGGAAUAAAGAGGAAUAAAGGGAAUAAAGAGGAAUAAAGAGGAAUAAAGGGAAUAAAGAGGAAUAAAGAGGAAUAAAGGGAAUAAAGAGGAAUAAAGGGAAUAAAGUGGAAUAAAGAGGAAUAAAGAGGAAUAAAGGGAAUAAAGGGAAUAAAGAGGAAUAAAGAGGAAUAAAGGGAAUAAAGGGAAUAAAGAGGAAUAAAGGGAAUAAAGAGGAAUAAAGGGAAUAAAGGGAAUAAAGAGGAAUAAAGGGAAUAAAGAGGAAUAAAGGGAAUAAAGAGGAAUAAAGAGGAAUAAAGGGAAUAAAGAGGAAUAAAGGGAAUAAAGAGGAAUAAAGGGGAAUAAAGAGGAAUAAAGAGGAAUAAAGGGAAUAAAGAGGAAUAAAGGGAAUAAAGGGAAUAAAGAGGAAUAAAGGGAAUAAAGAGGAAUAAAGGGAAUAAAGAGGAAUAAAG
This 5457-nucleotide long non-coding RNA is filed under the name Dicentrarchus labrax (European seabass). Its description in RNAcentral is "lncRNA (ENSDLAG00005030312.1)". The record is from RNAcentral. Lineage: Eukaryota; Metazoa; Chordata; Actinopteri; Moronidae.